This 434-nucleotide ribosomal RNA is filed under the name uncultured Lachnospiraceae bacterium. RNAcentral describes it as "partial 16S ribosomal RNA". It matches the Rfam family "Bacterial small subunit ribosomal RNA", at positions 341 to 792 of the family's 1533-position model. The record is from RNAcentral. Lineage: Bacteria; Bacillati; Bacillota; Clostridia; Lachnospirales; Lachnospiraceae.
ACGGGAGGCAGCAGUGGGGAAUAUUGCACAAUGGGGGAAACCCUGAUGCAGCGACGCCGCGUGGGUGAAGAAGUUUUUCGGAAUGUAAAGCCCUAUCAGCAGGGAAGAUAAUGACGGUACCUGACUAAGAAGCCCCGGCUAACUACGUGCCAGCAGCCGCGGUAAUACGUAGGUGGCAAGCGUUGUCCGGAAUUACUGGGUGUAAAGGGAGCGCAGGCGGGACUGCAAGUUGGAUGUGAAAUACCGGAGCUCAACUCCGGGGCUGCAUCCAAAACUGUAGUUCUUGAGUGGAGUAGAGGUAAGCGGAAUUUCGAGUGUAGCGGUGAAAUGCGUAGAUAUUCGGAGGAACACCAGUGGCGAAGGCGGCUUACUGGGCUCUAACUGACGCUGAGGCUCGAAAGCGUGGGGAGCAAACAGGAUUAGAUACCCUGGUA